GUGGGCCGAGGUUUUGGCUAGCCCCCCAUUGUCAGACGUCCCGAGCGCGUUCCCGAAGUCGGAAUCGGCAAAGGUGAGCCGGGACAGCCUUCUUCCUCCGCCCAGCCGCCACAGUAAUUUGUCGUCAAGUCUGCCACAGGAGGAUAUUUUGUUCUGAGUUAACCUGCUUUUCUACUUCGCAGGUUGUUUAUUAAUAUUUGUGUAAUUUUAAUUACUCCUAGAAUUUCCGCAUGUGUUAGCAGUAAUUAUUUGAAUUUGGUCUGUAAUAUUAUAUUCAUGUUGGACCUGUAAACUUAAUAUUUUAAGUCUGUUUUGAUGGAUUGGAUGAGGGAGCUGAGCUCCCAUUUAUUAUUA
Molecule: long non-coding RNA, 354 nt
Organism: Hevea brasiliensis (rubber tree)
Lineage: Eukaryota; Viridiplantae; Streptophyta; Magnoliopsida; Malpighiales; Euphorbiaceae
Exons: 3
Source: RefSeq, a predicted model, not a curated record